GAACCUGGAUUUCUGGUCCUAGAGGCAACUUGUUAAUUACAACAUCUUCUUAAUAUCAUAAUUCAGAUCUCCCCAAACUGUGGCACUGUGACUUCAUAAAGUCAUAAGCAAAUUGGUGCAGCUUCUACUUUAAUAAAGUAAUAAUUUCAUUAGAAUUAGAUUAGGUAAGAAUUAAAUAUGCUUGUUGUUUUCAAUUGUUGAUAUAUUUUGCAGGUUCUCCUAUUUUGUGAAAGCUGCUCCCUGUGGGCUUACACAGCAAAGCCAAUAUUCUGCCAAAAUUAUCUCUGUCCCACUUUGUCUUUCCAAGCUUGUAACUUCUUGGGGAAAUGCAUUUUACCUCAGACAAGUACCGGCUAUUUGUCGGCUUAUAUCGAGGAGAAUUUCAGACAUGUUAUGAGUUUUAUAGUUGCUUUGUAGCCAUUAUAAAUGCACAAUUAUGGAUAUAGAAGAAAGUGUGCAAUAUCAUGAAUAUAGCAGAAGAUGUGUGUGUGGUGUGUAUUUUAAAAUAGAAUUUUUAACAAUGUAAUAAUUUCUUUUCCAGAUCGUGGGUCCUUCUGACGGUUCUAACUACAUAAUAGAUUAUUAUGGUGCAAGGCUUACCAGACUGAGUAUUACGAAUGAUACAUAUAGAAAACCUCAAAUGUACCCUUAAUCUUGCCAGAGUUCACUUUAUUUGAGUGUGAGAAGAUGUCUGUGUAUGAAAUGAUGGAAGAGCACCGUCUAUAGAGGACUGAGAAGUUUCAUCAACUCUUUUGUCAUCAGCUCUUUGUGCACAAAGGAAAAAUAGUUGGCUAUGUUAUUUUACACUCUGCUGACCGCACAAAAGGAGUUAGAGCCUUUGUGCCAACUGUAACCUUAUUGAAAAGAAGACAGUGACUUAUCUUUUAAAUUGUUUGGUAAAUAAAAGCAACCAAUGGACUUUUAAUGAUGAAUGCAUCAUGAACUACUGCGCAAAAAACUUUAUACAAGUUGUACAAAAACUGAAAAAGGUGUGCGGAUAUAAAGGGAAAAACAAGAAGCAAUUACCUCAGCACUCAACAUCCCUUUUCCUACUGCUAUUUAAAAAUGAGAAAAGGAGAAACCACAUACAAAAAUGUGUUGUUGUGCAGAUGUACCAGGUUCCAGCUCAUUCACUCCCUCCCUCGCUCCCUCACAUCAAGUACAUUCUGUCCUUUUGGCAAUAAGUUGAUGGGAUAUUUAGAAGCUGCGAACUGUUCUGAAAGUUUCACAUAGUGGGUUAUGGGCCAUGUGUGUUUGAUCAAAAUUCAAUUACUGCACUGCGCCAGUCUUGGAAACGUAUCAUGGCGAGUUAUGGAGUAUGACGAAAUAAGCUUCUCUAAUUGGUUCAGUAUGGGGAGCAGUCUCAACCAAGCUUGUUAUGAUAAAUAGCUUCCUAUGUUAAAGGUUCUCCAGAGCUUAAGUGUCUUGGCUCACCUCCUUCAAUAGAAUAAGAAUAUUGUUCCCUAGGAACAUUUACAUCAUUGUCUCUUUUCCCAGGUUGGAGUUAAAUAUUUGUAGCAUUUUUAUCUUGCUGUUCUUGAGGAAUGUAAACAUAAAUACAUGUCACUUCUCCAAUCAUAAAAUAUCUUGUGUCCCUAUACACAACUGGUUAUUGGUAAUGUCACUUUUGUCAGCUUGGAAGAUCUUAACUGUUGUUUAAAGUCAAAUCCACUUUACAAGCCCUUUAAAAAUUGAUGCUGAAUGCUCUGCAACUCCUAGCUUAGAUUUGCUGCUACUAAAAGAGUUCCAAACAUGGAUAUGUUUUUUUAGCAGAUUUCUGUUAUGGAAAUAAUCUCUGAUUAUCUUCUGGUAAGCAAACAAAGGUAGAACUAGAGAAGUCUCAAGCUACUAUACGUGUCUACAUUGUGGUGCUUCAUGUGCACAGAUGCCAUUUCACUUUGAGAAAAAGGUAUAAUGCAUAUUGUUUUUCUGCUUCUUUGGUUAAGAAACUAGAGAAAAAUAAGCCUUGUCCUUCCCUUUAGUAAUUUGUCUUGUGGAGCUCAAAUUAGUUAUCUGAAUAGAUCAUUUCUUUUUUCCUAUAGUAAUUUAAUACACUGUUAUCUGGGUUUCAUUUGUUUUAUGAGCUUUGAUCCCAUCAUAGUUUGCCUUUAUAUUUAAAUGUCCUCUUUAACCUUCUGCCAAAAGAUGUGUGUAACGCUGAAGUCGGCAUUUUCAUCAUGUACUACAUUUGCUGCAAAUUUCAAUUUUAUAAACCAUUCCCCUUAGUCAUCACUUAAUCAAGCGAUGACUAAGUGCAGCAAUAUAAAAUUAAAGGGAGGAAAACUUGAUACAAUAAACAUAAAAUCUACAUCCGAGUAAGAUAAGAAACACGCACUCCCAUUGUUUUUCAAAGUAGAACGGGAUCAAAUAUUUUAGAAUGGUUGAUAGGGAAAGAUACAUAAUGGAAAAUAUUGGGCAGAUGAUGCGGGGGGGGGUGUUAGAACAAAACUCAGAAGAAUAUUGUAUUACAUUUUUUAAUAACAAUUCCACAAGAAGUAACUUUACCUUUAAAAAUAGAAUAUGAUGGCAGGCAUUUAUGCUAAACCUCCUUCUGGCAAAUCAGCUUUUUUUUGUAUUGAAUCUCACUUGAUUGAAUAGCAUUGGGGUUGCCAGAGUAAAUGCUAUUAUCAAUGUACAGUAAUUAAGGAAAUAGUCCUUGUCACUCGAACAGCAUCCAGGCUGUGCCUGCUGUAAUAAAGUUAAAUGAUAAAGAAAUGUCUUUAAAUAAAGUGCAACUACUGGAGCGUAGUUACUCUUGAAAUGCAGUGGAAUAAUGCAGUGGAAAAUUACUGGUGAUAGGAAAAUAUGCCCAUUGAAUACAAUGUAAGGCUUCUUAAAUAUCUAAAUAGAUUACGUACAUAAUCUUCCAAUUUAAAGAUAAAGAUGUUAAUCCCUCAUAUCCAAAGAGCGAUAAGCUUGGAACAAGUUAAUCUAGUAUUUGAUCUUCAAAUUAUUAAUUAAUUGAAUCAUUAGAACCUAGAAAUGUUUUGAAACCUAUGUAUAAAGUGUACAAAUCAAGUGUUGUCAUAUGCUUAAGUUAAGAUCCUAUAUACAUUUUAUUAUAAAGUAUCAAUACCUUCAAUCUUAAGGCCAACUGAACGUGAUAUAAAUUAUAAUACAAACAAUGUUUCCUCCAAGGUUAGGCCUUCCACAGGAAAAUAUUUUUCCCCAUUGUUGUAACUAACCGUAUCUUACUUGAAAAGAUAAAUAACCGGACCUCGUGGGAACAAUAAGGCAUGAUGUUUGUACCAGUAAACAUAAGCUUCCAGCUUGCAAGUUUUUGGGAUGAGGAUGGCAUUAAGACCUAUUCUGAGGGCUGUAUCUGGGAAAUGUAGAUGCCCAGGGAAGGAGUAAUUCAGAGUAAAGAGUAAAGAGUUUCUUUUGCUAAUGGAAUACUGCACCGUGAAACAUUUACAGUAGAUGUCAUCAUAGAAGUGAUUCCAAGAUGUGUUUCUUAAAAUAUCUAUGACUCUUGAAAUGGUUUAGCUUCUGCAAAAAGAAGAAAUGUUGGAGAGUCUAGGUUUCUGAGAACAGUUUUUGGGCCACAGCUUCCACCUGAGAGAUUAUUAGAAAAAAGUAACCUGAAUUUCAUCUGGCUUUAGCCAGAUUUUCUACAGACUGUUCUUGAAGGUACAUCUGCAUUCAGGUUUUUUAUUUUAUUUUUGUGGGAUUCUUUAUGCUGUGUUUGCAUGAAAACAAAGGCUUUGGUAUUGGAGGUUGCAUUGAGAUAUGCUAAAGGUCAGUUGCCUAACCUUCCAGAUGAGAUUUCAUACUUUCUCCCUAAUGGAAUGAAUAAUCAUAAUGCCAUUUCCAUCUCUUUGUAGAAAGAAAAUUGCCGAGGGCCUGGUUCAAUUCCCUAAACUAAGUUUCAUAAAUAUUAUUUUAUUAUUUAUUCUGUUUAUGAAUGUUAUCUGUUUUUUAUGAAGCCAGAAUGGAUCUUUACUGAAUUAUUCCUAAAAUCUCAUCUUUUGGGGGAUGUAUGCUCCUUGGGCAGUCUACAUGAGAGCAUUAUGCUCUUGGAAAUAUGUAUUCCUUAAUAAAUUAAAUUACGUGAUUUAAAA
This is a non-coding RNA of Thamnophis sirtalis, 4061 nucleotides long. The record is from RefSeq and is a predicted model, not a curated record. NCBI's taxonomy places the organism in Eukaryota, Metazoa, Chordata, Lepidosauria, Squamata, Natricidae.